This 468-nucleotide ribosomal RNA is filed under the name uncultured bacterium. RNAcentral's name for it is "partial 16S ribosomal RNA". It matches the Rfam family "Bacterial small subunit ribosomal RNA", at positions 28 to 507 of the family's 1533-position model. The record is from RNAcentral.
GACGAACGCUGGCGGCGGGCUUAACACAUGCAAGUCGAACGGAAAGGCCCUGCUUUUGUGGGGUGCUCGAGUGGCGAACGGGUGAGUAACACGUGAGUAACCUGCCCUUGACUUUGGGAUAACUUCAGGAAACUGGGGCUAAUACCGGAUAGGAGCUCCUGCUGCAUGGUGGGGGUUGGAAAGUUUCGGCGGUUGGGGAUGGACUCGCGGCUUAUCAGCUUGUUGGUGGGGUAGUGGCUUACCAAGGCUUUGACGGGUAGCCGGCCUGAGAGGGUGACCGGCCACAUUGGGACUGAGAUACGGCCCAGACUCCUACGGGAGGCAGCAGUGGGGAAUAUUGCACAAUGGGCGGAAGCCUGAUGCAGCAACGCCGCGUGCGGGAUGACGGCCUUCGGGUUGUAAACCGCUUUCGCCUGUGACGAAGCGUGAGUGACGGUAAUGGGUAAAGAAGCACCGGCUAAAUACGUG